Long non-coding RNA from Gadus chalcogrammus (walleye pollock), 972 nucleotides. RefSeq lists it as uncharacterized. NCBI's taxonomy places the organism in Eukaryota, Metazoa, Chordata, Actinopteri, Gadiformes, Gadidae. The transcript has 3 exons. The record is from RefSeq and is a predicted model, not a curated record.
GUGUGUCAUUGACAGUAAGAGCUUUGCAUGUUGCCUUCUAUUCUGUUUUUGUAACUGCCUCACUUGAAUCUGAGCGUCCAGCUGAUGUCACUUUCUGGAUGUAUUUUUGCACUGCGCAGCUUCAGGAGUUCCUUCGGCUGGACGGGCUGAAAGAAAAUGUAGGGGCCAGCCCAGUGAUGUCCAGGUUCUGAAUCAGCUGGCUAAGCCGGUUCAUGAUCCGGUACGGUGCCUCACCACCAUCGCGAAGAAAGUCAUUCAGCGACAUCAGCCCGAAGUCUCCUGGUCGCACGCAGUUAACACAAAAAAUGAAAUGCUAUACUCUGGCUCAUUCAGUCUCCGGACCAGCCACCACCGGUUCUGCAGCACUCCGCUUCACACAGUCAGAGGCUCCUGAGUAAGUGUAGUGGCUCAUCAGAGUCCAGCAUAGAAUCCUCCUCAUGCAUGUGUAGCGCCUGCUUGGGCAGCGAGCCAGGGUCUCUGGGCUAGAUGAGCCUGGUGGUUGGAGGAGGUGGAGGUGGAUGCCUCCUCAGGAAGCAUUGGAAGGAGAAGGCUACAGUGUUCCAAUCGCAAGCAGAGCGAAAUCACCCAGAGAGAGAAGACCUGAGCCCCACGCCAGCACAAGCACCGGUGACAACGUGCUCACUGCGCUAGCUAGAGUGCUACAUUUCCUGUCACCUGGGAUCAACGUUGAACACAACUUCCCUUCCGGAAUGGCCUUUAAAUGCCUAGGCACAUUUUUGUCUCUGUAUCUCACCUUCACAAUGGUGUGCAACCAAACGUGUGACAUUGUAUGUUUAGCACUUUGAAAGGUAUCAUGUGAGUGAAUUACAGAGGGGACAUUAUUUUAAACCUGCACUAAGCCUGUUUUCCCAAUAGCAAUCUCUGGCGGCUUGAGUUGUAGCUACAGUUACAGCUAAACGUUUUUCAGCCGAGAAUCACUGUCAGGCAACAGUGAAACAAAAUAAAAAAAUU